AAGACGACUUCCCAAUUUGUAAACACUGCUGGGUCUUUUUUUUUUUCCGGUGGGGCUUAAAUGUUAAAUUAGCUACUGUAUGUUACAGCUCUCAGUUUAAUAGAAAUAUACUUUUGGUGGUUUACAAAUAUAAUUUCACAGUUCAUUUGUCUUUUUCCUUUCACUCCAACAUCUGAGAACUGAACUACUCCAUAUUUUAACAGUCUGGAACAGACAUGGCAAACUAUGGCCCAGGGGCCGGAUAUGGACUCUUAGGCUUUUUAAUCUGGCCUACCCAACCUGUCCAAAUUAUAUAAUUAAAUUAUAUAAUCCAUAGACAUUAGUCUGCCCUUUCCUUGCAAUACCUGCAUUUCCCCAAUAGAUGGCACACUCCAGAAGUGAGGUGUGUUACUCUCUACUUCAGUGUUCGGCUUUACCGUUUGUGUGAACAAUUUCUGUUGUUGUUGUUUGCGUUUAAAAUAAUUUAGGCCUCUUAAAUCUAGGUCCAUCUGAAUUACCUCACAACAUAUUUUAAUUGCAAUUUAAGAAAGGCAAGAUUUUUUUCCCCCUAAAACACGACAUGGCAGCAAACAUGACAUGUUAAGGAUGCUAGAUGAUAAAAUGUGAAGGAAGACAGAAAUUUAGACAGAAUACCAAAAAUCAACAAAUAAAAAUCUAUAUACCUGUAAACAAACAUGUUAGCCGACGUAUAGUGACAACUUUUCAUAAAAUUGCACCCGUGUCCCCAAAAUAUUUUAUAUGGAAAUAAAAGCCACAGUAAAACAUUUACAUUCGAUUUACGUCAAUCACGUGACAACCCAACCUGAGAUGUGAGACCUCCGGUGGCAGGCAGGUGAACUGCCAUUGCACCGCUGUAGCCCCCUGCAAUAGUUCUAAGUAUAACUACUACUGCAAAUGAAAUCAAACUUUUCAAUAGCAUUGAAAAAAAAA
Molecule: long non-coding RNA, 930 nt
Organism: Cynoglossus semilaevis (tongue sole)
Lineage: Eukaryota; Metazoa; Chordata; Actinopteri; Pleuronectiformes; Cynoglossidae
Exons: 2
Source: RefSeq, a predicted model, not a curated record